This 301-nucleotide ribosomal RNA is filed under the name uncultured bacterium. RNAcentral's name for it is "partial 16S ribosomal RNA". It matches the Rfam family "Bacterial small subunit ribosomal RNA", at positions 509 to 809 of the family's 1533-position model. The record is from RNAcentral.
CAGUCGCCGCGGGAAUACGAAGGGUGCAAGCGUUAAUCGGAAUUACUGGGCGUAAAGCGUGCGUAGGCGGUGAGUUAAGUCUGCUGUGAAAUCCCCGGGCUCAACCUGGGAAUGGCAGUGGAUACUGGCUCGCUAGAGUGUGUCAGAGGAUGGUGGAAUUCCCGGUGUAGCGGUGAAAUGCGUAGAGAUCGGGAGGAACAUCAGUGGCGAAGGCGGCCAUCUGGGACAACACUGACGCUGAGGCACGAAAGCGUGGGGAGCAAACAGGAUUAGAUACCCGAGUAGUCCCUGUCUCUUAUAA